This is a long non-coding RNA of Uloborus diversus, 695 nucleotides long. RefSeq lists it as uncharacterized. The transcript has 3 exons. NCBI's taxonomy places the organism in Eukaryota, Metazoa, Arthropoda, Arachnida, Araneae, Uloboridae. The record is from RefSeq and is a predicted model, not a curated record.
UUUCAUUAUAUUAAAGGGUAUAAAAACUAGAAUAAGACGACAGAGUUAUGUACGACAACAGUUGGACUUAUUCUUCUGCUUAAAAAAUUUGAACAUCAUGAAUAAAUUCUUGCUGGUGUUUAUUGCUGCUUGCAGUUUGAUUUUGCUUGAAGGAACAAAUGGAAUGCCAAAUUAUUUGUUUAAAAUGCCUCUUUUAGCUGCUGGACAAAAGGUUUUGAAACCGGACUUCACGCUGAGGGGAGGAGGAGGAGGAAACAACUUGCACGACUUCCAUGGUAAUUUAGACCUCGGAGUUCAAUCAAAGAUCUGGGAAAGCAGAAAUCGGGAUUUCAGUGUUGGUGUGGGUGGACACUGGAACCAGCCCCUCGGUCCAGGGUCGAUGAGGCCCAGCUGGGAUGCAAAUGCUGUUUUUGGUUGGCAAUUCGGAAGAUAAUAUCUCAAAUACAAGAACUCAUUUUGCCAAAAAUUCAUAAAUGAUGUUGCUCUCGAUGCUAAGUAUGAAAUAAAACACUUAAAGUACUUUAAAUUUUGGCGUGUGUUUAGAAAAUACCUUGCGAAUGAUUCAAAAGUUGUGUUUCAUUAUAUUUAUACUUACUUGUAAAAUGCUUGUAUACAUCAGUGGAAAUGACAUUGAAUUUACUACUUUCGAAUAAAAAAAUGUCUUAAUGUACAAUAAAUUUUGUUUUUAAAUUAGA